This 248-nucleotide ribosomal RNA is filed under the name uncultured bacterium. RNAcentral's name for it is "partial 16S ribosomal RNA". It matches the Rfam family "Bacterial small subunit ribosomal RNA", at positions 15 to 291 of the family's 1533-position model. The record is from RNAcentral.
GAUCCUGGCUCAGAAUGAACGCUGGCGGCAUGCCUAACACAUGCAAGUCGAACGAAGGCUUCGGUCUUAGUGGCGCACGGGUGCGUAACGCGUGGGAAUCUGCCCUUGGGUUCGGAAUAACAGCGGGAAAUUGCUGCUAAUACCGGAUGACGACGAAAGUCCAAAGAUUUAUCGCCUGAGGAUGAGCCCGCGUUGGAUUAGGUAGUUGGUGGGGUAAAGGCCUACCAAGCCGACGAUCCAUAGCUGGU